RNAcentral lists this ribosomal RNA (589 nucleotides) under uncultured bacterium. RNAcentral's name for it is "bacterial SSU rRNA". It matches the Rfam family "Bacterial small subunit ribosomal RNA", at positions 336 to 916 of the family's 1533-position model. The record is from RNAcentral.
CUCCUACGGGAGGCAGCAGUGGGGAAUCUUGCGCAAUGGGGGAAACCCUGACGCAGCGACGCCGCGUGGGUGAUGAAGGCUUUCGGGUCGUAAAGCCCUGUCGGAGGGGAAGAAACGUACCGACCUAAUACGUCGGCUACUUGACGGUACCCUCUAAGGAAGCACCGGCUAACUCCGUGCCAGCAGCCGCGGUAAUACGGAGGGUGCAAGCGUUGUUCGGAAUCACUGGGCGUAAAGGGCGUGUAGGCGGCCGGGUAAGUUGGACGUGAAAGCUCCUGGCUCAACUAGGAGAGGUCGCUCAAAACUGCCUGGCUAGAGGGCGACAGAGGGAGGUGGAAUUCCCGGUGUAGUGGUGAAAUGCGUAGAUAUCGGGAGGAACACCAGUGGCGAAGGCGGCCUCCUGGGUCGCCCCUGACGCUCAGACGCGAAAGCUAGGGGAGCGAACGGGAUUAGAUACCCCGGUAGUCCUAGCUGUAAACGAUGUGGACUUGGCGUUGGUGGGGUCAAAUCCAUCAGUGCCGGAGCUAACGCGAUAAGUCCACCGCCUGGGGACUACGGUCGCAAGAUUAAAACUCAAAGGAAUUGACGG